This 1661-nucleotide ribosomal RNA is filed under the name Acentronura tentaculata. Its description in RNAcentral is "16S ribosomal RNA". It matches the Rfam family "Bacterial large subunit ribosomal RNA". The record is from RNAcentral. Lineage: Eukaryota; Metazoa; Chordata; Actinopteri; Syngnathiformes; Syngnathidae.
CACCUUAAAUCUAGCCCCACAACCUCAGAACAACACAUAAUUGUUAAUAAACCCUUAUGCACUAAAUCUAUAAAAUAAACCAUUCUUAAACCCUAGUAUGGGAGACAAAAACGGAUAAAGGAGCUACAGAACAAGUACCGCAAGGGAAAGAUGAAAAAGAAAUGAAAAAAUUUUAAAAGUACAUAAAAGCAGAGGUUUCACCUCGUACCUUUUGCAUCAUGUUUUAACAAGUCAUACUCAAGCAAAGAGCCCUUAAGUUUGAACACCCGAAACUAAGUGAGCUACUCCAAGUCAGCCAAUAUCUGGGCAAACCCGUAUCUGUGGCAAAAGAUUGGGAAGAACUUCGAGUAGAGGUGACAAGCCAACCGAACUUAGUGAUAGCUGGUUUCCUGAGAAAUGGAUAUAAGUUCAGCCUGAUCACUCCUUAAGCCACCUCCAUUUAUACUCAGGCCAUCUGAGUGAUCAGAGUUAAUCAAAAGAGGUACAGCUCUUUUGAAAAAGACACAACUUUUUAAGGAGACUAAAGAUCAUACUAAAUAAAGGCCGCAGUACCCCCGUGGGCCUAAAAGCAGCCAACCAAGAAGAAAGCGUUAAAGCUCUAGUACUCAUGAUCCUAAAUAUUUUGAUAAAUUUUCUUAAGUCCCUAAUAUUAUCAGGACAUCCCACGUCAAUGUGGGAGUGAUUAUGUUAAUAUGAGUAAUAAGAGGCUUUAAAACCUCUCCACUGCACAAACGUAAGUCGGAACGAACCCACGCCGAAAACUAACGACCCCAAGAAAAGAGGGUACUGUAAAAUAAAUUAAAACCAAGAAAACCAAUCAAUUAAAAAUCGUUAACCCCACACUGGAGUGCAAACAAGGAAAGACUAAAAGGGGGAGAAGGAACUCGGCAAACACUAGCCUCGCCUGUUUACCAAAAACAUCGCCUCUCGCAAACAAACAUGAGAGGUCUUGCCUGCCCUGUGACCACGUGUUUAACGGCCGCGGUAUUUUGACCGUGCAAAGGUAGCGCAAUCACUUGUCUUUUAAAUAAAGACCCGUAUGAAUGGCUUAACGAGGGCUCAACUGUCUCCUUCCCUCAGUCAAUGAAAUUGAUCCCCCCGUGAAGAAGCGGGGAUAAAAACAUAAGACGAGAAGACCCUAUGGAGCUUUAAAUUUUAGCUGAUAUUAUAACACACUCCUGAUUAAAGGAAACAAAAGUAAUUAGUCUGCUAAUAUUUUCGGUUGGGGCGACCGCGGGGUAAAAUCUAACCCCCGUGAAGAAUGGGGUAAUACCUCAAAACCAUGAACGCCAGUUCUAAGUAAUAAAAAAUUUAACUAAUAGAUCCGGUAUCACCGAUCAACGAACCAAGUUACCCUAGGGAUAACAGCGCAAUCCCCUUAAAGAGUUCAUAUCGACAAGGGGGUUUACGACCUCGAUGUUGGAUCAGGACAUCCUAAUGGUGCAGCCGCUAUUGAGGGUUCGUUUGUUCAACGAUUAAAGUCCUACGUGAUCUGAGUUCAGACCGGAGUAAUCCAGGUCAGUUUCUAUCUAUGAUAUGUUUUUCUCUAGUACGAAAGGACCGAGAAGAAGAGGCCCCUGCCAAAGGUAAGCCCCCCUGCUACCCAAUGAAGACAUCUAAAUUGGGUGUGAGGCAUAACACCAAGCUCAAAACCAUAGCUU